Molecule: ribosomal RNA, 478 nt
Filed under: uncultured bacterium
Lineage: Bacteria
Description: partial 16S ribosomal RNA
Rfam family: Bacterial small subunit ribosomal RNA
Source: RNAcentral
GAUGAACGCUGGCGGCGUGCUUAACACAUGCAAGUCGAACGAGAAAUGUAGACGGAAACCUUCGGGCGGAAGCCUUCAUUUCGAGUGGCGGACGGGUGAGUAACGCGUGGGUAACCUGCCUCAUACAGGGGGAUAACAGUUGGAAACGACUGUUAAUACCGCAUAAGACCACAGCAUCGCAUGAUGCGGGGGUAAAAACUCCGGUGGUAUGAGAUGGACCCGCGUUCGAUUAGCCAGUUGGCGGGGUAACGGCCCACCAAAGCGACGAUCGAUAGCCGAUCUGAGAGGAUGACCGGCGACAUUGGGACUGAGACACGGCCCAAACUCCUACGGGAGGCAGCAGUGGGGAAUAUUGCACAAUGGGGGAAACCCUGAUGCAGCGACGCCGCGUGAGUGAAGAAGUACUUCGGUAUGUAAAGCUCUAUCAGCAGGGAAGAAAAUGACGGUACCUGAGUAAGAAGCCCCGGCUAACUACGUG